AUCCUGAUGACGAGUCCGUAAUAAGACGAGACGCGUGUCCUGGAU
RNAcentral lists this non-coding RNA (45 nucleotides) under Schistosoma mansoni. The record is from RNAcentral. Lineage: Eukaryota; Metazoa; Platyhelminthes; Trematoda; Strigeidida; Schistosomatidae.